Molecule: unclassified non-coding RNA, 239 nt
Filed under: uncultured fungus
Lineage: Eukaryota; Fungi
Description: sequence contains ITS2
Rfam family: 5.8S ribosomal RNA (bases 1-52)
Source: RNAcentral
AACGCAUAUUGCGCCCUCUGGUAUUCCGGGGGGCAUGCCUGUUCGAGCGUCAUUACAACCCUCAAGCUCUGCUUGGUAUUGGGUGUCACUGCUAGAGUACACCUUAAAAUCAGUGGCGGUACCACCUGGGCUUCUAGUAUAGUAAUGAUUCUUACUAUGGAGCCUUGGGUAGUUGCUAGCCAGCAACCACUUUUUCAAUGGUUGACCUCGGAUCAGGUAGGGAUACCCGCUGAACUUAA